CUGGGACACUGGGUGACUGACAGCUGUCCUUCAUGACAACAGAAGCCACAGAAAUCCUCCUCAUCAAAAACAUGACUUUGAUCUCUGUCCUCAUCUGGACUCUCCUCUGCUGCUGCUUCACAGAGUCCAGAGGUCAGGUCACAGUGACUCAGCCUGGAGCAGUGAGCUCUGCUGUGGGAGGCUCCGUCACCAUCACAUGUAGGACCAGUCAGGAUGUUUAUAGCUCUAACCACUUAGCCUGGUACCAACAGAGAGAUGGAGAAACUCCGAAACUGCUCAUAUACUAUACCAGCACUCGAGCAUCAGGGAUUCCAGGUCGUUUUACAGGCAGUGGAUCAAAGUCUGACUUCACUCUGACCAUCAGUGGAGUCCAGACUGAAGAUGCAGCAGUUUACUACUGUCAGAGUGAACACUACAUCAACAGUCAAGCUGUGUUCACACAGUGAAAAAGCGUUGUACAAAAACCUCUCUCAGUCAGACUGAA
Non-coding RNA from Epinephelus fuscoguttatus (brown-marbled grouper), 484 nucleotides. The record is from the annotation of a RefSeq genome assembly. Lineage: Eukaryota; Metazoa; Chordata; Actinopteri; Perciformes; Serranidae.